Molecule: ribosomal RNA, 488 nt
Filed under: uncultured bacterium
Lineage: Bacteria
Description: bacterial SSU rRNA
Rfam family: Bacterial small subunit ribosomal RNA
Source: RNAcentral
CUACGUGCCAGCAGCCGCGGUAAUACGUAGGUCCCGAGCGUUGUCCGGAUUUAUUGGGCGUAAAGCGAGCGCAGGCGGUUAGAUAAGUCUGAAGUUAAAGGCUGUGGCUUAACCAUAGUACGCUUUGGAAACUGUUUAACUUGAGUGCAAGAGGGGAGAGUGGAAUUCCAUGUGUAGCGGUGAAAUGCGUAGAUAUAUGGAGGAACACCGGUGGCGAAAGCGGCUCUCUGGCUUGUAACUGACGCUGAGGCUCGAAAGCGUGGGGAGCAAACAGGAUUAGAUACCCUGGUAGUCCACGCCGUAAACGAUGAGUGCUAGGUGUUAGACCCUUUCCGGGGUUUAGUGCCGCAGCUAACGCAUUAAGCACUCCGCCUGGGGAGUACGACCGCAAGGUUGAAACUCAAAGGAAUUGACGGGGGCCCGCACAAGCGGAGGAACAUGUGGUUUAAUUCGACGCAACGCGAGGAACCUUACCAGCGUUUGACAUC